UGGGGAAUAUUGGACAAUGGGCGAAAGCCUGAUCCAGCCAUGCCGCGUGUGUGAAGAAGGUCUUCGGAUUGUAAAGCACUUUAAGAUGGGAGGAAGGGCAGUAAGCGAAUACCUUGCUGUUUUGACGUUACCGACAGAAUAAGCACCGGCUAACUCUGUGCCAGCAGCCGCGGUAAUACAGAGGGUGCAAGCGUUAAUCGGAAUUACUGGGCGUAAAGCGCGCGUAGGUGGUUCGUUAAGUUGAAUGUGAAAGCCCCGGGCUCAACCUAGGAACUGCAUCCAACACUGGCGAGCUCGAGUAGGGCAGAGGGUGGUGGAAUUUCCUGUGUAGCGGUGAAAUGCGUAGAUAUAGGAAGGAACACCAGUGGCGAAGGCGACCACCUGGGCUCAUACUGACACUGAGGUGCGAAAGCGUGGGGAGCAAACAGG
Molecule: ribosomal RNA, 429 nt
Filed under: Pseudomonadota bacterium
Lineage: Bacteria; Pseudomonadati; Pseudomonadota
Description: Proteobacteria bacterium partial 16S ribosomal RNA
Rfam family: Bacterial small subunit ribosomal RNA
Source: RNAcentral